GAUGAACGCUGGCGGCGUGCCUAACACAUGCAAGUCGAGCGAACAGACGAGGAGCUUGCUCCUCUGACGUUAGCGGCGGACGGGUGAGUAACACGUGGAUAACCUACCUAUAAGACUGGGAUAACUUCGGGAAACCGGAGCUAAUACCGGAUAACAUGUUGAACCGCAUGGUUCAACAGUGAAAGACGGUUUUGCUGUCACUUAUAGAUGGAUCCGCGUCGCAUUAGCUAGUUGGUAAGGUAACGGCUUACCAAGGCAACGAUGCGUAGCCGACCUGAGAGGGUGAUCGGCCACACUGGAACUGAGACACGGUCCAGACUCCUACGGGAGGCAGCAGUAGGGAAUCUUCCGCAAUGGGCGAAAGCCUGACGGAGCAACGCCGCGUGAGUGAAGAAGGUCUUCGGAUCGUAAAACUCUGUUAUUAGGGAAGAACAAAUGUGUAAGUAACUAUGCACGUCUUGACGGUACCUAAUCAGAAAGCCACGGCUAACUACGUG
RNAcentral lists this ribosomal RNA (497 nucleotides) under uncultured bacterium. Its description in RNAcentral is "partial 16S ribosomal RNA". It matches the Rfam family "Bacterial small subunit ribosomal RNA", at positions 28 to 507 of the family's 1533-position model. The record is from RNAcentral.